This 2592-nucleotide long non-coding RNA is filed under the name Sus scrofa (pig). RNAcentral's name for it is "lncRNA (ENSSSCG00050063921.1)". The record is from RNAcentral. Lineage: Eukaryota; Metazoa; Chordata; Mammalia; Artiodactyla; Suidae.
CUUUCUGAAUUUUGAGUCACCUUAAGGAAUACCCAGUUUUAAAAUAAAAGUUAAAGAGUGAUUUUUCUCUGCUAUUAUAUUUUUUUAAAUUUAGUUGCUUCUGAAUUUGACUGGAUUUAUAUGCCUAUGAGCAGAUUUCCCAUUUUCUACCAAUUGGCUUGCCAUUUCCCAAGCAAAUUUAACAAAUUAGUCAUGGAAAUAUUUCCCCAAGCCUUACUUCAGUUUUUUAAAAACACAUGUGUUUUAAUUUCCACCAAAUAUUAGCAAGCUAACUUUACAAUAGGAACUAGGAUACAAAUAAAAAUGACAAGCUUGUUUUUAUAUAUUAACUAUAGGAAAUUCUCCAGCAAAAGGAAAAUUAUGAAUAAUAUUUUUAAUUUAAAAAUAAGUCAACUCUAACAGUUCAUUCAUUUAAUGAAUACUUACUGAGUUCCUUCUGUGUGGCAGGCACUGAUCUGGGUUUGGGGGAUACAGCAAUGAACAGAAAAGAAAAAUUAUGGUGCUUGCAUUCAAGUGUAAUAUUCCACUGAUGGGUGGUUAGCAGUAUACUAGAGAUUCUAAAAUGGUAAACAGAUCCCAUGUCUUACAUUUCUCCUUUUAUCAUUUUUCAUUUAUUUCCACUAUAUGCUCUAACCUCCUCUAAUUUUUUUCUUAAUUCAGCUAUCUAGAAAAAAUCCACUAGGUGGCACUGUCUCAUUGAUCAGAAUAAAAAAGUAACACGGUUAUUUCCAAUGUUUUUUUUUUUUUUUUUGUCUCCCUUGGUUUUGUUUUUAACUUGCUUUUUUGUGUGUGACCAAAACACAACUUAAAAUAUACCAUUUUGGGGAAAACCAAAAAUAUACAAAAAGAUGAGAUAUUAGUUUGAGUUUGCUGAACAUACCACCGUCUAACUUGACAAGCCAAGUUAAGGUAUAACCCAUCACUCAAACACACCACAACACACAUGGGGGUGGAUAGAAUAUACACUGCAAGUGAAUAGGACUCCUGAAAAGAAACAAUACAGAAUGAUGGAACAGAAGUCGGGAGAAGGUGUCGAGAGAGAUGCAUUGAAGUCCUAGCUUUAGCUCACCUUUAACCCACAUUUAGAUGAGCAGCCAGGGACAAGUCACCUAAUCACCAUGACCUUUAAGCUUCUCAUUUUAAAAAUACAUAUUUGUAGUAAUAUAGCAUUACUCAUCUAAAAGGGUCUUAUAAAAAUCAAAUAACUUAAAGUCCGUGAAAGUGUUAUUUUGAACACAUUAAGCUAUGUGGUUCUGAUAUUUUGCCUAGAAGAAAAUAUAUGAUUUUUGGAGUCAUGGACAUAAUAAACAGGAUUUUCAAUUAUUGCUUAGUAUGUACCAUGAACUGUCCCAAGUGCUUUAAAAUAGUGCUUCAGUUAAUAUUCCAAAUUUAACACCAUGAGGUACAUACUAUCAUUACCCUCAUUUAUAGCUGAGGAAACAAAGAUUUAGAAUAACUUGCCAGAGGCCAUUCAGCUAUUAAAUGGCAGAGCUUAUCUCUUCUCAAGGACCCCUCAUUUCUAUAAUCCAUCCACUAAAGGAGCUGUUUGAAAACAUCAUAACCAACAGAACACUUAGGGAAUGCUAGGCCUAAAGAAUAGGAAUUCUUUCCAGAAUAUGACAGAGUAAUGACAAUAACUGCUUCAUACAAGGAAAUCAAGCUUCUCAGACCUAAAGAUGCCCAAAUCGAGAGAGAUAAGAACUGUGAUCGCACAAAUAAAGUCUGCACUCACAUAUCUCGGGUAUUUUUAAAGCUACUCCAAUUCAGAGCUUGCCAUUCAAAAGGUAAAUAAUGAAAGGUAAGAUUUUCAAUAUCUACCACUAUGUCAUCUAAUCCUUUAAAUGCUUGUAAACUCUUUGAAAACAAGUUCGGAUCUGUUUGUUGGUAAUAAAAGAAAAAACUGUUGGAGUAGAAAUAAACUUUAUCAGCAGCAUAAUUUGGAACAUGAUCUCCGCAGCAUACAGACUGUUUUGGAGAAUUCUGGCUCCCGCAUUGCCAAUUAAAAGAUCUGGGGAAAGUUAGGGGUUUCUGUUGUGGCUCAGUGAAAAUGAAUCCAACUUGGAACUAUGAGGUUGCAGGUUCAAUUCCUGGCCUCGCUCAGUAGGUUAAGGAUCCGGCAUUGCUGUGGUUGUGGCACAGGUCGGCAGCUGUAGCUCCAAUUAGACCUCUAGACUGGGAACACCCCCCAAAAAGCUAGAAAAGUUGCAAGAAUAAAAUGAGUUAAUACAUUACAAUGCCUCGAGGAGUUCCCGUUGUGGCUCAGUGGGCUAAGAACCUGACUAGUAUCCAUAAGGAUACAGAUUCGAUCCCUGGUCUCCCUCAGUGGCUUGAGGAUCUGGCAUUGCCACAAGCAGCAAGCUGCAGUGUAGGAGAUGUGGCUCGGAUCUGCCACUGCUGUGGCUAUGCUGUAGGCCAGUAAGUGCAGCUCUGAUUCAACCCCUAGCCCAGGAACUUCCAUAUGCCAUGGUGCAGCCCUAGAAAACAAAAAAGAAAAAAAAAAUGCCCAGAACAGGACCUAGCACAUAGUGAGAGCUCAAUAAAUAGUAAUGUUUUUCUUCUUAUUCAUGCUUCUCAAAUCACAUGAGCUAUUUA